Molecule: ribosomal RNA, 253 nt
Filed under: uncultured bacterium
Lineage: Bacteria
Description: partial 16S ribosomal RNA
Rfam family: Bacterial small subunit ribosomal RNA
Source: RNAcentral
UACGGAGGGGGUUAGCGUUGUUCGGAAUUACUGGGCGUAAAGCGUACGUAGGCGGAUUAAUAAGUUAGAGGUGAAAUCCCAGGGCUCAACCCUGGAACUGCCUUUAAAACUGUUAGUCUUGAGAUCGAGAGAAGUGAGUGGAAUUCCAAGUGUAGAGGUGAAAUUCGUAGAUAUUUGGAGGAACACCAGUGGCGAAGGCGGCUCACUGGCUCGAUACUGACGCUGAGGUACGAAAGUGUGGGGAGCAAACAGG